UAAGGAAUAUUGGACAAUGGACGCAAGUCUGAUCCAGCCAUGCCGCGUGAAGGAUGAAUGCCCUCUGGGUUGUAAACUUCUUUUAUAGGGGAAGAAAGAUACUUUUUUUGAGGUAGUUGACGGUACCCUAUGAAUAAGCACCGGCUAACUCCGUGCCAGCAGCCGCGGUAAUACGGAGGGUGCAAGCGUUAUCCGGAUUUACUGGGUUUAAAGGGUGCGUAGGCGGGCAUGUAAGUCAGUGGUGAAAUACCGGAGCUUAACUUCGGAACUGCCAUUAAUACUAUAUGUCUGGAAUAUUGUGGAGGUAAGCGGAAUAUGUCAUGUCGCGGUGAAAUGCAUAGAUAUGACAUAGAACACCGAUUGCGGAGGCAGCUUGCUACGCAAAUAUUGACGCUGAGGCACGAAAGCGUGGGGAUCAAACA
This 422-nucleotide ribosomal RNA is filed under the name uncultured bacterium. RNAcentral's name for it is "bacterial SSU rRNA". It matches the Rfam family "Bacterial small subunit ribosomal RNA", at positions 355 to 774 of the family's 1533-position model. The record is from RNAcentral.